AAACAUGUCUUUUUGAGUUAAUUUUAAAGUCUAACCUGCCCACUGAAAAUAUUUAAAUGGCCGCAGUAUUUUAACUGUGCAAAGGUAGCAUAAUCAAUAGUCUUUUAAUUGAAGGCUGGAAUGAAUGGUUGGACGAAGUAUAAUCUGUUUCAUAUAAAUUUAUAAUAGAAUUUUAUAUUUUAGUUAAAAAGCUAAAAUUUUAUUAAAAGACGAGAAGACCCUAUAAAUCUUUAUAUUUGAUAGUAAUUAGGUUUUAUAGAUAUAUUUUAUUUUUUUAUUAUUAAAUAUUUUGUUGGGGUGAUAUUAAAAUUUAAUUAACUUUUAAUUUUUUUUUAUCAUUAAUUUAUGAUUUAUUGAUCCAUUAAUAGUGAUUAUAAGAUUAAGUUACUUUAGGGAUAACAGCGUAAUUUUUUUGGGGAGUUCAUAUCUAUAAAAAAGUUUGCGACCUCGAUGUUGGAUUAAGAGAUAUAUUUUGGUGUAGCUGCUUAAAUAUUAAGUCUGUUCGACUUUUAAAUUCUUACAUGAUC
This 527-nucleotide ribosomal RNA is filed under the name Strauzia longitudinalis. RNAcentral describes it as "partial small subunit ribosomal RNA". The stretch from base 395 to 527 matches the Rfam family "Bacterial large subunit ribosomal RNA", at positions 2473 to 2605 of the family's 2925-position model. Lineage: Eukaryota; Metazoa; Arthropoda; Insecta; Diptera; Tephritidae. The record is from RNAcentral.